CCUACGGGAGGCUGCAGUGGGGAAUAUUGCACAAUGGGGGAAACCCUGAUGCAGCGAAGCCGCGUGAGUGAAGAAGUAUCUCGGUACGUAAAGCUCUAUCAGCAGGGAAGAUAAUGACGGUACCUGACCAAGAAGCCCCGGCUAACUACGUGCCAGCUGCCGGGGCAAAAAGUAGGGGGCAAGCGUUAUCCGGAUUUACUGGGGGUAAUGGGGGCGUAGACGGCAGCAAAAGUCUGGAGUUAAAUCCCGGGGCUUAACCCCGGAACUGCUUUGGAAACUGUGCGGCUGGAGUGCAGGAGGGGUAGGCGGAAUUCCUAGUGUAGCGGUGAAAUGCGUAGAUAUUAGGUGGAACACCGGUGGCGAAGGCGGCUUACUGGACUGUAACUGACGUUGAAGCUCGAGAGCGUGGGGAGCGAACAGGAUUAGAUACCCGAGUAGUC
RNAcentral lists this ribosomal RNA (440 nucleotides) under uncultured bacterium. Its description in RNAcentral is "partial 16S ribosomal RNA". It matches the Rfam family "Bacterial small subunit ribosomal RNA", at positions 338 to 795 of the family's 1533-position model. The record is from RNAcentral.